RNAcentral lists this ribosomal RNA (164 nucleotides) under Hydnophytum sp. C.H. Lambrick 132/83. RNAcentral describes it as "5.8S rRNA". It matches the Rfam family "5.8S ribosomal RNA". Rfam says of the family: 5.8S ribosomal RNA (5.8S rRNA) is a component of the large subunit of the eukaryotic ribosome. The record is from RNAcentral. Lineage: Eukaryota; Viridiplantae; Streptophyta; Magnoliopsida; Gentianales; Rubiaceae.
GACUCUCAACAACGGAUAUCUAGGCUCUCGCAUCGAUGAAGAACGUAGCGAAAUGCGAUACUUGGUGUGAAUUGCAGAAUCACGUGAAUCAUCGAGUCUUUGAACGCAAGUUGCGCCUGAAGCCAUUAGGCUGAGGGCACGUCUGCCUGGGCGUCACGCAUCUA